RNAcentral lists this long non-coding RNA (916 nucleotides) under Zea mays. RNAcentral's name for it is "drought responsive lncRNA". Lineage: Eukaryota; Viridiplantae; Streptophyta; Magnoliopsida; Poales; Poaceae. The record is from RNAcentral.
GAUGAAUUGUGUUUAGGCUAAUCAUGUUUAAAGUGUAUAAUUUGUUUGCAAUGUUUGCGUUAGGUUCGAGAAACGUAAUUAUUGCGUGUAGUCGUAUAUUAAUAACUACUGAUUUCGUACAAAAUUGUACAACGCAUCGCCGCUAGGUGUUUAAAUUCGCCAUCGCGUAGCACUAUUUAGGUUUAUAAUAUUUCCGUCGAUAUGCAUUCAUGUGCAUAAUGCAUUCCAUUCAGGUACGUUAAUUAAUCGCGUGAUGCGGAAGAUACCCCGAGUCGACCCCAAGCGCGGACUAAACCGCAGGAUGAUGCUGAUGGAUGAACUGGAAGAUGGAUAAUCUGAGCGAGUGCCAAGCCAAAGGAUGAUCGUCAAGUGGACAUCGCCUAACAAACACUAACCUAGUGUUACUCAGGCAAGCCCCGGUGCAUGCAACCCCUUCCUUGUGUUUUUAAAUACUUUUCGCACACUUUAAGUCUAGUGAAAUGUGCAUUAGGUUUAUAGGAGUUGCUUGAAACCCUUUGAUGCAUUGCCUUCCUUGAUAUCCAUACCUUUAUAGAUACUUCUGAUGAAGUAUCAAAAUAUGAUUUACAAAAUUUGCUUAGCCUUGCUUAGAGGUAAAUCUUGUGGAUAGAGGUUGUCCUUUGCGUUAAUGCCUAGCUCAGGGGUUAUCCUGAGGAAGGAUGGCUUCUGCCUGCAAGAAUAUUUUAAUUGGGAGCAAUGGUGGGAUCUUACUGCAAAGUUCCCUUUGAUGCUCUUUUCAUCCUAAGGAAUACAAACAAUCCUAAGGGUGGAAGUACUUAAAUCGGGACUUGGGCUAGGAACAGGUGAUGCUCCGCCUGGGUCAAUUAAGGAUUGGAUGCGUAUGUAGGCCUGAUAGAUCAAGGACUAUCUUAACUGGCCACAUGCCCUGGAAAUGGGA